Myotis myotis is the source of this 1772-nucleotide long non-coding RNA. RefSeq lists it as uncharacterized. The transcript has 8 exons. The record is from RefSeq and is a predicted model, not a curated record. NCBI's taxonomy places the organism in Eukaryota, Metazoa, Chordata, Mammalia, Chiroptera, Vespertilionidae.
UAAACCCCACCCAGCCAGCCCCUAGCGCAGACGGCGACGAGCUGGAUGGAGCGCGCCUUGCCUUGCUGGCCUGGGCCGCAGCUCCUCCGAAGAACCGGGGCGCCCACGCGAGAAUCUCCCCGCCAGGUUCUCUCUUCAGGGAUGACAUCACCAUUCACCUCCUUGUCUUCAAGGACCACCUGUCGAUGCCCAGCUGCUGCCAAGGUGCUUGCUGCUCAUCUCCACCUUAUGAAGACCUCAGGAGCGCCCCUUUUUGGAUCCCACCAGCAUACCAAGCAGCCACUGGCAGAGACCCCCCAGGACCAGGACCACGGAGGCUGAAGAGGACCAGAACUGACCAACCAGCUGUUCCUCUUGGCUAAAGACUUAAUCCAAUGCCCUAGUGAGGGGGCAUUGGACAUUCACCCCUGACCUUUGCUAUGCUUGUGCUUAUUGCUAUGAAUACUGUCCUGUAAGUCUCUGCUUGUGUUAAUAUGCCAGCGACCUGGAGUGUUUCCCUCCCCAAGAAUGUGUCAGUUUUUCUCAGCUGACCCUAUUGUUGCCCGGGUGAUGUCCUGAAUAGAAGGACCCCUUUGGGAACUUCUCAGGAGGGGGACCUGGGCCCAGGGCUCCGCCAGCAUCUCACUGGCAAUUCCAAAGCCGUGGUGGGCUUCUGGAAUGAGCAUGAGCCCUGAUGUCAUGGGCAUCCUUGUCCUUUCCGGGAAUGGUGAUGAGAAGAGCAACCUCCUAGGGUUGUUGUGAGUAUUAAAUGAGCCAAAUUAGCCUGGGGCAGGGCUGGGCAUGAGGAGGUGUUCAGCAAACAUUUGUUGAAAGUUUGAUAGGUCAGUCCAUCCCCAUCAGUGUCACUUGUCUGAUGCCUCUUGUUUAUUUUCCCCACAGCUCUCCGCCAGCCCCUGUCCACGGGGCUCUCCUGCACAGCCACGCUUCUCCAAAGGCCUGUCUCCACUUGCUGUCUUCCUUCCUCACCUCCAAUUUCCUCUUCAAUCCACUGCUUCCUGCCUUCUCUACUCCGUCGAGCGGCUUUCACUAAGGUCAUCCCAUGGCCUGCCCCGCCCCUGUGAGUCCCCAGCCCUGCUCACCCCACGUCACCCCAGGUCUCCAGUUGGUUUGGGAGCUGCCACCCUGGCCUUUGGCUUUUCCCAUCACUGCUCAUUCCCAUGAGCCACCUCCCUCCACCGAAAACCAGACUUCUGGUUGACCCGGGGCCGGGUCAGCUGAAGAACUGACAGAAGAGGCAGAAGAGCCUCCGGAGGACACCGCCCUGGACCAAGCCCUCCUUCCCAACCCCGCGCCCAGCCUCUCGCCUCCGUCCUGGUUUGGGACGAAGCCAUCGUCCGGAAUUCGUCGUGGGACGGGACCUCAGACACAAGCCCCCGCACCCUCCACCUGCGAAAUCCCUCCACAGCCACGGGGACGCCCUGCUCACAUUCCCUCGGGACAGGCUGGACCCAAAGACUCUGGACCCGGCUGCCCCCUGCAAGGAGGGGUGUGCCCUCCUCCUCAGCCUCCCCUGCGGUAGUCGCCCACCCUAUGCGGAUGGACUUCAUUGAGCUGAGGGUCAGACACGUGGGCUUGACGCCUGCCCACACCUUACGAACCCUGAGACUUAGGGGACUGGCUGUGCCUUCGCCAUCCGCAUCUGUGAAAGGGGCUCUGCACCUACCUCACAGGGUUGUUGUGAGGAGUCUGUGAUGCGGUCUGAAAGUGCCCAACCUGGGGCUUGGCACAUCCUAUUGUGCUCUCAAUAAAUAUCUUUUUUUUGCCUUAACAAA